GUGAGGAAUUUUCCGCAAUGGGCGAAAGCCUGACGGAGCAAUGCCGCGUGAAGGAUGAAGGCCUAUGGGUUGUAAACUUCUUUUCUUAGAGAAGAAUAUUGACGGUAUCUGAGGAAUAAGCAUCGGCUAACUCUGUGCCAGCAGCCGCGGUAAGACAGAGGAUGCAAGCGUUAUCCGGAAUGAUUGGGCGUAAAGCGUCUGUAGGUGGCUUCAAAAGUCUCCUGUCAAAGAUCAGGGCUUAACCCUGGGCCGGCAGGAGAAACUCUGAGGCUAGAGUUUGGUAGGGGCAGAGGGAAUUCCCGGUGGAGCGGUGAAAUGCGUAGAGAUCGGGAAGAACACCAAAGGCGAAAGCACUCUGCUGGGCCACAACUGACACUGAGAGGCGAAAGCGAGGGGAGCAAAAGGGAUUAGAUACCCUUGUAGUCC
RNAcentral lists this ribosomal RNA (426 nucleotides) under uncultured bacterium. RNAcentral describes it as "partial 16S ribosomal RNA". It matches the Rfam family "Bacterial small subunit ribosomal RNA", at positions 354 to 796 of the family's 1533-position model. The record is from RNAcentral.